ACACGUCGCCAAAAUUGGCUAAAUGUAUAAUUUUUACUCUGAACUUUCCUUAAAUUGUCAUUUCCAUCUCUUAACUUUUCAACCUUAAUUCAUUCUUUUUAUAGUAGCUUUUUUACCCUUUGCCAUACUGGAUCAGCGGAGCAUGGAGGAAAUCGCGCGUGAACAGUAAUGUUUUUAUCCUACGUGUAAAAGAUGGCGUCGGCGUCGUAUUGAACCCCAUUUGCUUAAACCAAGGGCAUAUUCACUCUCCAUCCGUCUUAUUGUCUUCUUUUCUCGUAAACAGGCUGAACCAGAGCAUUAAGCAUUGAGUAAACAAAGAAAAUCAGACCAAACCAAACACCAUUGUGUAGUUUAGAUCAAGCCCACCGUUGAUUUUCUUCUUGGUUUUGUUUUGUCUCUCUUUCUCUGCACAUCUUCUUCACCCACCAUUGUGUUUCUCCUUAUCUUGAGAUUCUUUGUUUUGCGGUUAAUGUUUUUUUUUUUUUAAAAUAGAUUUUUCUUUCUUUUAAUUCUAUUUAAAAAAAAAAUGAUCUUCCAUCUGGGUUGUUGUGAUUGCAGAGAUUGAUGAAAGUGAGAAUGAAAUAGUGGCGCAUGGGAAAUGAGAAGGCAUCUUGAUGAAGAGACCUCAAACUCAACUCAGAUAUGAUAUUGGCAACGAAGAGAACACGAAAGAGAAACCAUUUGGAUAACCUUAAGUGAGAUACUGGUGGCUAUAAUAUCAGCAAUGAUUGUUAUUGGGCUUUCUUGAAAAUGUGGAAACCGACGAAGUGUCUCUGAUAAUGACAUUUCAAUUGCUUACGGCACGACACGUCAACCUCAAUCCCGAGUCAGUUCGUUGGUUCUGUGAUGAAGGGUGAACUUGGUGGUUUCUUUUAUUUAUUUUACUACUAUGGUGAUGGUAUGGCUACGGCAGAGACGACCGCAACGGCAAGUUAGACCUGACACGGACAAAAAAUUCCGUCAAUUCAAGAAAUGAAAUUAACAACAAACCACCUUUUAUGCAUCAACUGCAUGUCAAAAUAAAAAGAGAGCACGUAAAACAAAAUGGCCAGUAGCGGGCUAAGAAAGAUGAAAAAUCUCAAUAUCCUCCAAAACUUAAAAAAAAAAAAACAUUUCUCUCUUACUCACGUUUACUGUUUCAGUCAAAAGACAAAAUAUGUUGGUGCUAGCUAUGUUAUUGAGAAGGUAAAAAGAACAUUUCUCUUGCUCACAUUUAUUACUGUUUCAGUCAAAAGACAAUAUGUUGGUGCUAGCAACGUUAUUAAAAAGGGCUUGAAAAA
Long non-coding RNA from Jatropha curcas, 1280 nucleotides. RefSeq lists it as uncharacterized. The record is from RefSeq and is a predicted model, not a curated record. Lineage: Eukaryota; Viridiplantae; Streptophyta; Magnoliopsida; Malpighiales; Euphorbiaceae.